GUCAGACAUGGUGGCAAAUGCCUGUAAUCCCACUGACUUGGGAGGCUGAGGCAGGAGGAUUGUGAGUUCAAGGGCAGCCUCAGCAAUUUAUUGAGGCCCUAAGCAACUUAGUGAGACCCUGUCUCAA
This 127-nucleotide small RNA is filed under the name Marmota monax (woodchuck). The record is from RNAcentral. Lineage: Eukaryota; Metazoa; Chordata; Mammalia; Rodentia; Sciuridae.